ACCGUGCUAAGGUAGCAUAAUCCCUUGCCUCUUAAUUGGUGGCUAGUAUGAAUGGAUAAACGAGAAUCGCCCUGUCUCUAUAGACCAUAUAAAAAUUAUCCUUCAAGUGAAGAGACUUGAAUUAACCUAAAAGACAAGAAGACCCUGUAGAGCCUUAGUAAAGCCUAGUUAUAAAAAAUAAAUCUAAACCCAGUACCUAGUUAUACUUCAGUUGGGGCGACUAAGGAACAAAAAAGCUUCCCUAUAUUUAAAGGCCCAUUAGCCAUUUCACUGAUCCGUUUCCACGAUCAAAAAACCAGGCUACCUCAGGGAUAACAGUCUAAUCUUCCUUAAGAGUUCGCAUUGACAGGAAGGAUUGGCACCUCGAUGUUGGCUUAGGGGUUCUUUAGGGCGCAGCCGCCCUAAAAGUAGGUUUGUUCAACCUUUAAUAACCCUACGUGAUC
RNAcentral lists this ribosomal RNA (443 nucleotides) under Aricidea cf. catherinae JL-2018. RNAcentral's name for it is "partial large subunit ribosomal RNA". It matches the Rfam family "Bacterial large subunit ribosomal RNA", at positions 1945 to 2605 of the family's 2925-position model. The record is from RNAcentral. Lineage: Eukaryota; Metazoa; Annelida; Polychaeta; Paraonidae.